RNAcentral lists this ribosomal RNA (587 nucleotides) under Kodamaea ohmeri. RNAcentral's name for it is "eukaryotic LSU rRNA". It matches the Rfam family "Eukaryotic large subunit ribosomal RNA", at positions 70 to 664 of the family's 3401-position model. Lineage: Eukaryota; Fungi; Ascomycota; Pichiomycetes; Serinales; Debaryomycetaceae. The record is from RNAcentral.
CCAGAUGCUCAGUACGGCGAGUGAGCGGCAAAAGCUCAAAUUUGAAAUCUAGCACCUUCGGUGUUCGAGUUGUAAUUUGAAGAUGGUAACCUUGGGUUUGGCUCUUGUCUAUGUUCCUUGGAACAGGACGUCAUAGAGGGUGAGAAUCCCGUCUGAUGAGAUGCCCAUUCCUAUGUAAGGUGCUAUCGAAGAGUCGAGUUGUUUGGGAAUGCAGCUCUAAGUGGGUGGUAAAUUCCAUCUAAAGCUAAAUAUUGGCGAGAGACCGAUAGCGAACAAGUACAGUGAUGGAAAGAUGAAAAGAACUUUGAAAAGAGAGUGAAAAAGUACGUGAAAUUGUUGAAAGGGAAGGGCAUUAGAUCAGACUUGGUGUUUUACGAUUAUCUUCUCUUCUUGAGUUGUGCACUCGUAUUUCACUGGGCCAGCAUCGAUUCGGAUGGCAAGAUAAUGGCAGUUGAAUGUGGCUUCACUUCGGUGGAGUGUUAUAGCUUCUGCUGAUAUUGCCUGUCUGGAUCGAGGGCUGCGUCUUUUGACUAGGAUGCUGGCGUAAUGAUCUAAUGCCGCAAAAACUAAAAACCACGGACCCAGAA